GCACUGUUGGUCCAGCGGUAGGAUAUUUGCCUUCCACUUCUUCAGAAGCAAGGUCAGCAAAUGGCUCGGGUUCGACUCCCGGACAAUGCA
This 90-nucleotide transfer RNA is filed under the name Corynespora cassiicola Philippines. It matches the Rfam family "tRNA". Rfam says of the family: Transfer RNA (tRNA) molecules are approximately 80 nucleotides in length. The record is from Rfam by way of RNAcentral. Lineage: Eukaryota; Fungi; Ascomycota; Dothideomycetes; Pleosporales; Corynesporascaceae.